GACGAACGCUGGCGGCGUGCCUAACACAUGCAAGUCGAACGAAGCAUAGCAAUAUGCUUAGUGGCGGACGGGUGAGUAACGCGUGAACAAUCUGCCCUGUACAAAGGAAUAGCCUCGGGAAACCGGGAUUAAAACCGUAUGACACUUUAGUAUCGCAUGAUAAGAAAGUCAAAUCGAAUAGAGGUAUGGGAUGAGUUCGCGUCUGAUUAGCUGGUUGGCGGGGUAACGGCCCACCAAGGCGACGAUCAGUAGCCGGCCUGAGAGGGUGAACGGCCACACUGGAACUGAGACACGGUCCAGACUCCUACGGGAGGCAGCAGUGGGGAAUAUUGCACAAUGGAGGGAACUCUGAUGCAGCGACGCCGCGUGAGUGAAGAAGGUCUUCGGAUCGUAAAACUCUGUCCUUGGUGAAGAAAAGGACGGUAGCCAAGGAGGAAGCCCCGGUAACUACGUG
This 454-nucleotide ribosomal RNA is filed under the name uncultured bacterium. Its description in RNAcentral is "bacterial SSU rRNA". It matches the Rfam family "Bacterial small subunit ribosomal RNA", at positions 28 to 507 of the family's 1533-position model. The record is from RNAcentral.